This 1504-nucleotide long non-coding RNA is filed under the name Canis lupus familiaris (dog). RNAcentral's name for it is "lncRNA (ENSCAFG00845023958.1)". The record is from RNAcentral. Lineage: Eukaryota; Metazoa; Chordata; Mammalia; Carnivora; Canidae.
ACUCCCAGUCACCCCGGAGGGAAGACACAGUGUAUAACCUGCCUGCUGGGCGGGCAAGGUCAGGCUCGGGCGGACUGCCUCCCUUCCGGACUUUUCCAUUAAUUUAUUUACACAGGCCCAGAACAAGCCCACAGACCUCUGCAGAAGUUGGCAGGCACAAGGUGGCAUUUAUUCUUCUGCAAACGGUCUCAUUUCUCCAGGGACCCCUCCUCUUUUAAAUGUGACCCAGGGAGGUGUUAGAGCAGCCAAAGAACCUAGAAAGAAGGAAAAUUUUCCCACCCAGACAGUUUGGCGACCUGCAAAGGGACCUUCUCUGGCUGGACACUGCUUGCUCCAGGGCUGCUGCAGCUGAGAGAGCCUUGGGCUUCUGACAAGAGCCAGCAGAAGGUAAGAAUUCUUACCAGAUGGAUCUCCUGGAUCUCCACCUGUUGGAUCCAGUGGCAGCGAGAGUGGUGAGAAUCCUCUUUCCUUUUCUAAAUGCAGAUUAGCAGGAGACGGUAUUUGUGUGAAGUCAUUCCUUGAGUAUGGUGAUUCUGGUAAAGAUUUGUUAUGAGUACUCUUGCCUCUAUUGAUCCUUUUUCUCCCGGAGAUAGAUAUUGUUUCCUUUGGUCUCUGUCACUUGUGUCCUUGGUCAUGAGGAAGAGAAUCAUAGCCCACAUGAGCUUUUUCCUUUCGUCCUGUUUCAUGUCUUGAGAGCUUAGCUUUGUGACCAAGGAGAAUAUUCUCACUGGAAGAUGCGUGUUCCAGCACGCGUUGGCAUACAGCCGAGUAGAUUGCAGAUCUGAAAAGCAGCACUGUCUUUGUCCACUGAGUCAGCUCUCCGGGGAGUUUGUCUUUAGGGGUUUUGGUCCACAAGGGGACCUUGUUGGUGAGGUUAAUGGGAAAGUCCCAUACCAGUAGUGCCAGACUGGUAUCCCAGCAGCUCUGUGACUGGAGGUCAUGUUCUUGAGGAAGACCAGAGCCACCAUUCUUACUGCCUGUGACACUGAAGGUCUUUGCUUGCUUGCUUGCUUGCUUUCUUUCUUUCUUUUUUUUUUUUGAAGAUUUUUAUUUAUUCAUGAGAUAGAGAGAGAGAGAGAGAGGCAGAGACACAGGCAGAGGGAGAAGCAGUCUCCAUGCAGGGAGCCUAAUGUGGGACUUGAUCCUUGGUCUCCAGGAUCAGGCCCUGGGCUGAAGGCGGCGCUAAACUGCUGAGCCACCCGGGCUUCCCAGGUCUUUGCUUUCUUAGCCUAAUUAUGGGAGUGAAUUUUCUGGAUCUUGUGAGGACUGCAUCCUCUGCACCCUCUUUUGGAAUGCUUCUCUUAUCCAUGGUUAAACCCCAAGAAGAUUUAAUUGGUUUGAGUCCCUGUUGAGAUUAAUAUAAGAUCCUAUUUGUCAAUGGCCAGAUAAUGGAUCCUCUGAAUUGGCUAUAUUUGAAAGAGAACAUUUUAGAGAGCUCUCCUCAAGCAAUGGUCUUAUUGGUAUCAUUUUUGUGGGAAAAAGAAAAAAAAACAAUUAAAAAGAG